Molecule: ribosomal RNA, 306 nt
Filed under: uncultured bacterium
Lineage: Bacteria
Description: bacterial SSU rRNA
Rfam family: Bacterial small subunit ribosomal RNA
Source: RNAcentral
GAUGAACGCUAGCGGCAGGCUUAAUACAUGCAAGUCGUGGGGCAGACAGGUUUGUAGCAAUACAGAUGCUGGCGACCGGCAAACGGGUGCGGAACACGUACAGAACCUUCCUUUGAGCGGGGAAUAGCCCAGAGAAAUUUGGAUUAAUACCCCAUAGUAUAAUGAAGUGGCAUCACUUUAUUAAUUAAAGUAUUUAUCACUCGAAGAUGGCUGUGCGGCUGAUUAGGUAGUUGGCGGGGUAAGGCCCACCAAGCCUGCGAUCAGUAACUGGUGUGAGAGCACGACCAGUCACACGGGCACUGAGAC